GCGCUUAAUGUCGCCCCUGCGGCAGCGGGAGAACCAUUUUGGGGGGUGCAUCCGUCCUGCGGACGGUAGGAGACCUUCUUCUCCGAACCCGGCAGCUAAUCUCGUCAGCAUAGGAA
RNAcentral lists this small RNA (116 nucleotides) under bovine gut metagenome. Its description in RNAcentral is "ydaO/yuaA leader". It matches the Rfam family "c-di-AMP riboswitch aptamer (ydaO/yuaA leader)", at positions 12 to 118 of the family's 134-position model. From Rfam's summary of the family: This family represents a conserved RNA structure found upstream of the ydaO and yuaA genes in Bacillus subtilis and related genes in other bacteria. The record is from RNAcentral.